Molecule: ribosomal RNA, 765 nt
Filed under: uncultured Corynebacterium sp.
Lineage: Bacteria; Bacillati; Actinomycetota; Actinomycetes; Mycobacteriales; Corynebacteriaceae
Description: bacterial SSU rRNA
Rfam family: Bacterial small subunit ribosomal RNA
Source: RNAcentral
GACGAACGCUGGCGGCGUGCCUAAUACAUGCAAGUAGAACGCUGAGGUUUGGUGUUUACACUAGACUGAUGAGUUGCGAACGGGUGAGUAACGCGUAGGUAACCUGCCUCAUAGCGGGGGAUAACUAUUGGAAACGAUAGCUAAUACCGCAUAAGAGUAAUUAACACAUGUUAGUUAUUUAAAAGGAGCAAUUGCUUCACUGUGAGAUGGACCUGCGUUGUAUUAGCUAGUUGGUGAGGUAAAGGCUCACCAAGGCGACGAUACAUAGCCGACCUGAGAGGGUGAUCGGCCACACUGGGACUGAGACACGGCCCAGACUCCUACGGGAGGCAGCAGUAAGGAAUUUUCCACAAUGAGCGAAAGCUUGAUGGAGCGACACAGCGUGCAGGAUGAAGUUCUUCGGAAUGUAAACUGCUGUUAUAAGGGAAGAAAAAAUAGAAUAGGAAAUGAUUUUAUCUUGACGGUACCUUAUUAGAAAGCGACGGCAAACUAUGUGCCAGCAGCUGCGGUAAUACAUAGGUCGCAAGCGUUAUCCGGAAUUAUUGGGCGUAAAGCGUCCGUAGGUUUUUUGCUAAGUCUGGAGUUAAAUGCUGAAGCUCAACUUCAGUCCGCUUUGGAUACUGGCAAAAUAGAAUUAUAAAGAGGUUAGCGGAAUUCCUAGUGAAGCGGUGGAAUGCGUAGAUAUUAGGAAGAACACCAAUAGGCGAAGGCAGCUAACUGGUUAUAUAUUGACACUAAGGGACGAAAGCGUGGGGAGCAAACAGG